AGGAACGACAAUUCGACAAUCCGAAAUUCAAAAAAUUUUGUGAAGAACUUCAUAUUACCCACAUGCUUACCUUGGUAGGCAUCCAUAAUUAAACAAAGAAGCCAUAAUUAAACAAAAAAGCUGAGGUAAUGAAUAGAACCAUUCUACAGGGUCUAAAAAUAAGGUUGAAUCAAGCUAAAGGACUAGGUGGAGUUGUAUAAUGUCUUAUGGGCUUAUCGAACUACUUAGAUCCCAACUGGAGAGACUUCGUUCAACCUAGCAUUUAGAAUAGAAGUAAUAGUACUGUAGAAAUUGACUUUCCAUCAACAAGAGUGGAAUAUUAUGAAGAGCCA
This 332-nucleotide long non-coding RNA is filed under the name Elaeis guineensis (African oil palm). RNAcentral describes it as "long non-coding RNA (EGUI_LNC056076)". The record is from RNAcentral. Lineage: Eukaryota; Viridiplantae; Streptophyta; Magnoliopsida; Arecales; Arecaceae.